This 426-nucleotide ribosomal RNA is filed under the name uncultured Anaerolineales bacterium. RNAcentral's name for it is "bacterial SSU rRNA". It matches the Rfam family "Bacterial small subunit ribosomal RNA", at positions 354 to 796 of the family's 1533-position model. Lineage: Bacteria; Bacillati; Chloroflexota; Anaerolineae; Anaerolineales. The record is from RNAcentral.
GUAGGGAAUAUUGCAAAAUGGGCGCAAGCCCGAUGCAGCAACGCCGCGUGGGCGAUGAAGGCCUUCGGGUCGUAAAGCCCUUUUUGAGGGGAUGAGGAAGGACAGUACCCUCAGAAUAAGCCUCGGCUAACUACGUGCCAGCAGCCGCGGUAAAACGUAGGAGGCGAGCGUUAUCCGGAUUUACUGGGCGUAAAGCGCGUGCAGGCGGAUUGGAGAGUUGGAUGUGAAAGCUCCCGGCUUAACUGGGAGAGGUCGUUCAAUACUUCCAGUCUUGAGUGCAGUAGAGGGAAGUGGAAUUCCGGGUGUAGUGGUGAAAUGCGUAGAUAUCCGGAGGAACACCAGUGGCGAAAGCGGCUUCCUGGACUGUAACUGACGCUCAGACGCGAAAGCUAGGGUAGCAAACGGGAUUAGAUACCCUGGUAGUCC